This 70-nucleotide transfer RNA is filed under the name Engaeus lengana. RNAcentral describes it as "tRNA-Gln". The record is from RNAcentral. Lineage: Eukaryota; Metazoa; Arthropoda; Malacostraca; Decapoda; Parastacidae.
ACAUAAGAGUGUAAUAGGGCAUAAAAAGGUUUGAUCUUUUAGGGGCCAGUGGGAAUCUGGUGUGUGUAUU